RNAcentral lists this ribosomal RNA (301 nucleotides) under uncultured bacterium. RNAcentral describes it as "partial 16S ribosomal RNA". It matches the Rfam family "Bacterial small subunit ribosomal RNA", at positions 509 to 809 of the family's 1533-position model. The record is from RNAcentral.
CAGUCGCCGCGGGAAUACGGAGGGGGCUAGCGUUGUUCGGAAUUACUGGGCGUAAAGCGCACGUAGGCGGCUUUGUAAGUUAGAGGUGAAAGCCUGGAGCUCAACUCCAGAAUUGCCUUUAAGACUGCAUCGCUUGAAUCGCGGAGAGGUGAGUGGAAUUCCGAGUGUAGAGGUGAAAUUCGUAGAUAUUCGGAAGAACACCAGUGGCGAAGGCGGCUCACUGGACGCGUAUUGACGCUGAGGUGCGAAAGCGUGGGGAGCAAACAGGAUUAGAUACCCCUGUAGUCCCUGUCUCUUAUAA